RNAcentral lists this ribosomal RNA (500 nucleotides) under uncultured Glomeromycotina. RNAcentral describes it as "partial small subunit ribosomal RNA". It matches the Rfam family "Eukaryotic small subunit ribosomal RNA", at positions 591 to 1092 of the family's 1831-position model. Lineage: Eukaryota; Fungi; Glomeromycota. The record is from RNAcentral.
CCAAUAGCGUAUAUUAAAGUUGUUGCAGUUAAAAAGCUCGUAGUUGAAUUUCGGGAUCGACGGGUCGGUCGCGCCUCUGGUGUGUACUGGCCCUGUCGGUUUCUCCCUUCUGACGAACUGCGAUGUCAUUAAUUUGGUGUCGUAGGGAAUCAGGACUGUUACUUUGAAAAAAUUAGAGUGUUUAAAGCAGGCAUUCGCUUGAAUACAUUAGCAUGGAAUAAUGAAAUAGGACGUUUGAUCUUAUUUUGUUGGUUUCUAAGAUCGACGUAAUGAUUAAUAGGGAUAGUUGGGGGCAUUAGUAUUCAAUUGUCAGAGGUGAAAUUCUUGGAUUUAUUGAAGACUAACUACUGCGAAAGCAUUUGCCAAGGAUGUUUCCAUUAAUCAAGAACGAAAGUUAGGGGAUCGAAGACGAUCAGAUACCGUCGUAGUCUUAACCAUAAACUAUGCCGACUAGGGAUCGGAUGAUGUUAAUUUUUUAAUGACUCAUUCGGCGCCUUACG